RNAcentral lists this ribosomal RNA (119 nucleotides) under Helianthus annuus (common sunflower). The record is from RNAcentral. Lineage: Eukaryota; Viridiplantae; Streptophyta; Magnoliopsida; Asterales; Asteraceae.
GGUUGCGAUCAUACCAGCACUAAUGAACCGGAUCCCAUCAGAACUCCGCAGUUAAGCGUGCUUGGGCGAGAGUAGUACUAGGAUGGGUGACCCCCUGGGAAGUCCUCGUGUUGCAACCC